Molecule: long non-coding RNA, 900 nt
Organism: Cyanistes caeruleus (blue tit)
Lineage: Eukaryota; Metazoa; Chordata; Aves; Passeriformes; Paridae
Source: RefSeq, a predicted model, not a curated record
UGUUAGGAUAUGACCCAUCAAUCCCCCACCUUUGGUAGGAUAUUCACAAGGCUGACAGGGGAAGAACAUCAUAGAUGGCAGGGUUACUAAGCACACCUGAGUUACACCCAGGCAAAACAGGUAAACUCCUUCACUUGCUGACAGAAGGCUGUUGCUGAGCAAGUUAAUGCUGCUUAGAUUGUUAAUGUUUCUUAAAUCAGCAUCAUCUUUUCUGAUCAAAUUCAGAAACUAUAAAUCAGAGCAGAAUUCUCUGUGAGAUGGACAUUUUUAUUCAUAGAACUGCAGUGAAAGAAACUCCAAGUCUGUGUCGCUUUCUGUGUGUCACUCUGGUGCCAACAUGUCACAAAGCUAAUAGAAUGCCUUGUCACCUCAGACAGCAGGUAUCACUCCUGACUUACCAAGACAAAUAUCUUCCCAUUUAUGGUGCUAAGAACAGCAUACAGCACUGGUAUCCUCCAGACAAGCCAGGAGUGAAACACAGUGAAUUUUCAACAUUUUAACUCAAUGGUUUGUUUAGGACCCAGACCUAGGCUAGAUCUUCCCACAAUUUCCACAACGCUGUAGGUAACAUCAGGCAUUCCAGACUCAAAUUCAGAUGAAGCAGCCAGCAACAGGACUAAUGCAACACAGUCUGAUGAAAAACAAAUGUCUACAAAGAAAGAAGCAUUAGCCUUCUAACAAGGAUAUCCAGCAAUUAAAAAUGACCUGGAACAGGAAGCCUUUCCGCCAUGCAGGUGGUGUAAGGACUGCAGAGAAGGAAAAACAUGUUCCUCUCAGUGUCACACAUUUCUAUCAAAUUUCCAGCCAAUGCAAACUAAGACUUGCAAAAUCCUGGAUGUUGGUGAACACUCUCCAUGGACAUUAGUGAACACUAAAAUACACAUAAUCUGGUUUUGAACA